This 253-nucleotide ribosomal RNA is filed under the name uncultured bacterium. RNAcentral describes it as "partial 16S ribosomal RNA". It matches the Rfam family "Bacterial small subunit ribosomal RNA", at positions 524 to 776 of the family's 1533-position model. The record is from RNAcentral.
GACAGAGGGUGCAAACGUUGCUCGGAAUUACUGGGCGUAAAGGGCGUGUAGGCGGGAAGGCAAGUCGGGCGUGAAAGCCCCAGGCUCAACCUGGGAACUGCACUCGAAACUGCCUUUCUUGAGUGCCGGAGAGGAAAGCGGAAUUCCUGGUGUAGAGGUGAAAUUCGUAGAUAUCAGGAGGAACACCAGUGGCGAAAGGCGGCUUUCUGGACGGUAACUGACGCUGAGACGCGAAGCGUGGGGAGCAAACAGG